Molecule: long non-coding RNA, 793 nt
Filed under: Anser brachyrhynchus (Pink-footed goose)
Lineage: Eukaryota; Metazoa; Chordata; Aves; Anseriformes; Anatidae
Description: lncRNA (ENSABRG00000010297.1)
Source: RNAcentral
CUAAGAUUUAUAUUGUGAGAUGCACAUGCUGCACGUAACAGCUUCUUUCUUCUCUCACUGAUCAAAACAUAAUAGACUUGAUUCAACCUUCAUUAAAGAAUUGACAGUCACUGUUCUACUUACUUCUCCUAGUGCCAGUUCACCAAAAUAGCAUUAUCCAGAAUAAGGGUGAGUAACUCAGAGCCAAGAAGAUAAAGUCAAAGUUUUCACUGUUUAAAAUACUUCAAGGAACCAUCACCUUUGCUGCUGUUAAAGGGUGUUUUGGGGGGUUCUUUCUUUCAGAUAUAAGAAGUUCAGGGAAUCCCUUUCCUGCUUCAAGCUUCCUGGGGGAAUACAAAGUGUGCAUGGGGGAACUGCAUUACCUGUAUUGCCAGAAGACCAGAGGGCAAAGGCCAAGUCUCCAUGCACAUUUGUUAGAGGACAUCAACAUUUUGGUAGUGCUGUUGACCCUUGUCCAAGAGGCCCUCCCAUUGAGCAGUACUAUGAUGUCAUCCUGCUGAAAAAAAGUGAUGUGCAUAUGAAUGACGAUCUACCGCUGUGACUGCCAUUUCCCACUUCUCAUCUCUACCAGACACACAUCUCUAGGUAUGCCAUGUUCCCAAACUUCAGAUCACCUGAGGAUCGAGACACUGGGAUCGAUGCAAGCAAUCAUCAGCCCUUCCACCCCAAUAUCCCUAGCAAUCCUUAUAAUGUGGUUGUUCUAAGGAAGACCAAAGCUUCCUAAGUUUGCUGAGGAAAAGGGUCAAAUAUACUAUCCAAACAAAUAUAUCCAACAAAUGUACUAUCCAAAUUC